AUUGAACGCUGGCGGAAUGCUUUACACAUGCAAGUCGAACGGCAGCACGGGGCAACCUGGUGGCGAGUGGCGAACGGGUGAGUAAUACAUCGGAACGUGCCCAAUCGUGGGGGAUAACGUAGCGAAAGUUACGCUAAUACCGCAUACGAUCUACGGAUGAAAGCGGGGGAUCGCAAGACCUCGCGCGAGUGGAGCGGCCGAUGUCAGAUUAGGUAGUUGGUGGUGUAAAGGCUCACCAAGCCAACGAUCUGUAGCUGGUCUGAGAGGACGACCAGCCACACUGGAACUGAGACACGGUCCAGACUCCUACGGGAGGCAGCAGUGGGGAAUUUUGGACAAUGGCGCAAGCCUGAUCCAGCCAUUCCGCGUGCCAGGA
Molecule: ribosomal RNA, 376 nt
Filed under: uncultured bacterium
Lineage: Bacteria
Description: bacterial SSU rRNA
Rfam family: Bacterial small subunit ribosomal RNA
Source: RNAcentral